GAUGAACGCUGGCGGCGUGCUUAACACAUGCAAGUCGAACGAAGCAUUUUACCGGAAUUUCUUCGGAGAGAAAAGUAAAAUGACUGAGUGGCGGACGGGUGAGUAACGCGUGGAUAACCUGCCAUAUACAGGGGGAUAACAGUUAGAAAUGACUGCUAAUACCGCAUAAGCGCACAGUAUCGCAUGAUACGGUGUGAAAACUACGGUGGUAUAUGAUGGAUCCGCGUCUGAUUAGCUAGUUGGUGGGGUAAUGGCCCACCAAGGCAAUGAUCAGUAGCCGACCUGAGAGGGUGACCGGCCACAUUGGGACUGAGACACGGCCCAAACUCCUACGGGAGGCAGCAGUGGGGAAUAUUGCACAAUGGGCGAAAGCCUGAUGCAGCGACGCCGCGUGAGCGAAGAAGUAUUUCGGUAUGUAAAGCUCUAUCAGCAGGGAAGAAAAUGACGGUACCUGACUAAGAAGCCCCGGCUAACUACGUG
Molecule: ribosomal RNA, 480 nt
Filed under: uncultured bacterium
Lineage: Bacteria
Description: bacterial SSU rRNA
Rfam family: Bacterial small subunit ribosomal RNA
Source: RNAcentral